RNAcentral lists this ribosomal RNA (572 nucleotides) under Saccharomyces cerevisiae (brewer's yeast). Its description in RNAcentral is "partial large subunit ribosomal RNA". It matches the Rfam family "Eukaryotic large subunit ribosomal RNA", at positions 62 to 648 of the family's 3401-position model. Lineage: Eukaryota; Fungi; Ascomycota; Saccharomycetes; Saccharomycetales; Saccharomycetaceae. The record is from RNAcentral.
AAACCAACCGGGAUUGCCUUAGUAACGGCGAGUGAAGCGGCAAAAGCUCAAAUUUGAAAUCUGGUACCUUCGGUGCCCGAGUUGUAAUUUGGAGAGGGCAACUUUGGGGCCGUUCCUUGUCUAUGUUCCUUGGAACAGGACGUCAUAGAGGGUGAGAAUCCCGUGUGGCGAGGAGUGCGGUUCUUUGUAAAGUGCCUUCGAAGAGUCGGGUUGUUUGGGAAUGCAGCUCUAAGUGGGUGGUAAAUUCCAUCUAAAGCUAAAUAUUGGCGAGAGACCGAUAGCGAACAAGUACAGUGAUGGAAAGAUGAAAAGAACUUUGAAAAGAGAGUGAAAAAGUACGUGAAAUUGUUGAAAGGGAAGGGCAUUUGAUCAGACAUGGUGUUUUGUGCCCUCUGCUCCUUGUGGGUAGGGGAAUCUCGCAUUUCACUGGGCCAGCAUCAGUUUUGGUGGCAGGAUAAAUCCAUAGGAAUGUAGCUUGCCUCGGUAAGUAUUAUAGCCUGUGGGAAUACUGCCAGCUGGGACUGAGGACUGCGACGUAAGUCAAGGAUGCUGGCAUAAUGGUUAUAUGCCGC